AAGACUAUACUUUCAGGGAUCAUUUCUAUAGUUUGUUAUUUUUAUUUAUUUAUUUGAGAGAGAGAGAGAGUGAGCACAAGCAGGGGAAGGGUGAGAGGGAGAGAGAGAAGCAGCCUCCCCACUGAGC
This 127-nucleotide small nucleolar RNA is filed under the name Canis lupus familiaris (dog). RNAcentral describes it as "Small nucleolar RNA U3 (multiple genes)". It matches the Rfam family "Small nucleolar RNA U3". From Rfam's summary of the family: Small nucleolar RNAs (snoRNAs) are involved in the processing and modification of rRNA in the nucleolus. There are two main classes of snoRNAs: the box C/D class, and the box H/ACA class. Lineage: Eukaryota; Metazoa; Chordata; Mammalia; Carnivora; Canidae. The record is from Rfam by way of RNAcentral. RNAcentral also lists the same sequence under 1 other name.